Molecule: ribosomal RNA, 497 nt
Filed under: uncultured bacterium
Lineage: Bacteria
Description: partial 16S ribosomal RNA
Rfam family: Bacterial small subunit ribosomal RNA
Source: RNAcentral
GAUGAACGCUGGCGGCGUGCCUAAUACAUGCAAGUCGAGCGAACGGACGAGAAGCUUGCUUCUCUGAUGUUAGCGGCGGACGGGUGAGUAACACGUGGAUAACCUACCUAUAAGACUGGGAUAACUUCGGGAAACCGGAGCUAAUACCGGAUAAUAUUUUGAACCUCAUGGUUCAAAAGUGAAAGACGGUCUUGCUGUCACUUAUAGAUGGAUCCGCGCUGCAUUAGCUAGUUGGUAAGGUAACGGCUUACCAAGGCCACGAUGCAUAGCCGACCUGAGAGGGAGGAGGACCAGACUGGAACUGAGAGACGGUGCAGACUCCGACGGGAGGAAGCAGUAGGGAAUCUUCCGCGAUGGGCGAAAGCCUGACGGAGCAACGCCGGGUGAAUGAUGAAGGUCUGCGGAUCGGAAAACUCUGUUAUUAGGGAAGAACAUAUGUGUAAGUAACUGUGCACAUCUUGACGGUACCUAAUCAGAAAGCCACGGCUAACUACGUG